Molecule: ribosomal RNA, 500 nt
Filed under: uncultured bacterium
Lineage: Bacteria
Description: partial 16S ribosomal RNA
Rfam family: Bacterial small subunit ribosomal RNA
Source: RNAcentral
GACGAACGCUGGCGGCGUGCCUAAUACAUGCAAGUCGAACGGCAGCACGGGCUUCGGUCUGGUGGCGAGUGGCGAACGGGUGAGUAAAGCAUCGGAACGUACCCGGAAGUGGGGGAUAACGUAGCGAAAGUUACGCUAAUACCGCAUAUUCUGUGAGCAGGAAAGAGGGGGAUCUUCGGAACUCUUGCUUUCGGAGCGGCCGGUGUCAGAUUAGCUAGUUGGUGGGGUAAAGGCCUACCAAGGCGACGAUCUGUAGCGGGUCUGAGAGGAUGAUCCGCCACACUGGGACUGAGACACGGCCCAGACUCCUACGGGAGGCAGCAGUGGGGAAUUUUGGACAAUGGGCGCAAGCCUGAUCCAGCCAUGCCGCGUGCGGGAAGAAGGCCUUCGGGUUGUAAACCGCUUUUGUCAGGGAAGAAAAGGCUCCUGUUAAUACCGGGGGCUCAUGACGGUAUCUGAAGAAUAAGCACCGGCUAACUACGUGCCAGCCGCCGCCGUAA